AAUAAUUAAUCACUUUUUAUUCAAAUUCUCUAGAAGUAUUGUUAUCUCUUCCUUCUCAGUGGAUCUCACAACACCUGAUCUUGCCUUCUAAUACAGUGUUUGGGAACAGAACAAGUAAGAAUGGACAAAGGAAUACCAUGUGCUGACUGACAAACACCUGGGUUUCUGAACCAACUGCCAUCAAGGGGACUGGGAUUACCAUAAUUUUUGCUGAGACUAAGCCCCACCCCAGUAACUAAAGGCUUAUGGGUGGAAUGCAAGCUAUUGGAAGUAUUUGAAGAUGUGACCAAGGAAGCUAUGAGAAUUGGAAAUGAGGCAGUUGUUUAGAGACGGGCUGAUGGGCUUGCAGUAAGGUGGAAGGAGGAAGGCAGAUGAGGAAAGGAAUGUGCAACUGAAUCAAUUAGCUGUUACUAUGUAACAAACCAUCCCAAAACGUAGUAACAUAAAA
RNAcentral lists this long non-coding RNA (448 nucleotides) under Pongo abelii (Sumatran orangutan). Its description in RNAcentral is "lincRNA". The record is from RNAcentral. Lineage: Eukaryota; Metazoa; Chordata; Mammalia; Primates; Hominidae.